This 292-nucleotide ribosomal RNA is filed under the name uncultured Acidobacteriota bacterium. RNAcentral's name for it is "uncultured Acidobacteria bacterium partial 16S ribosomal RNA". The record is from RNAcentral. Lineage: Bacteria; Pseudomonadati; Acidobacteriota.
GGACUACUGGGGUAUCUAAUCCUGUUUGCUCCCCUAGCUUUCGUGCAUCAGCGUCAGUUAUGGUCCAGUGAGCCGCUUUCGCCACAGGUGUUCCUCCUGAUAUCUACGCAUUUCACCGCUACACCAGGAAUUCCACUCACCUCUCCCAUACUCAAGCCGGACAGUUUCUCGUGCAGACUUCGAGUUGAGCCCGAAGAUUUCACAUGAGACUUAUUCGACCGCCUACGCACCCUUUACGCCCAAUAAUUCCGAACAACGCUCGCCCCCCUCGUAUUACCGCGGCUGCUGGCAC